UACGGGAGCAGCAGUGGGGAAUAUUGCACAAUGGGCGCAAGCCUGAUGCAGCCAUGCCGCGUGUAUGAAGAAGGCCUUCGGGUUGUAAAGUACUUUCAGUCGUGAGGAAGGUGUUAAGGUUAAUAACCUUAGCAAUUGACGUUAGCGACAGAAGAAGCACCGGCUAACUCCGUGCCAGCAGCCGCGGUAAUACGGAGGGUGCGAGCGUUAAUCGGAAUUACUGGGCGUAAAGGGCACGCAGGCGGUUAAUUAAGUUGGAUGUGAAAUCCCCGGGCUUAACCUGGGAAUGGCAUUCAAGCUGGUUAGCUAGAGUCUUGUAGAGGGGGUAGAAUUCCAUGUGUAGCGGUGAAAUGCGUAGAGAUGUGGAGGAAUACCGGUGGCGAAGGCGGCCCCUGGACAAAGACUGACGCUCAUGUGCGAAAGCGUGGGGAGCGAAACAGGGAUUAGAUACC
RNAcentral lists this ribosomal RNA (452 nucleotides) under uncultured bacterium. RNAcentral's name for it is "bacterial SSU rRNA". It matches the Rfam family "Bacterial small subunit ribosomal RNA", at positions 340 to 786 of the family's 1533-position model. The record is from RNAcentral.